This 468-nucleotide ribosomal RNA is filed under the name uncultured bacterium. RNAcentral's name for it is "partial 16S ribosomal RNA". It matches the Rfam family "Bacterial small subunit ribosomal RNA", at positions 28 to 507 of the family's 1533-position model. The record is from RNAcentral.
GACGAACGCUGGCGGCGUGCUUAACACAUGCAAGUCGAACGGAAAGGCCCUGCUUUUGUGGGGUGCUCGAGUGGCGAACGGGUGAGUAACACGUGAGUAACCUGCACUUGUCUGUGGGAUAACUUCAGGAAACUGGGGCUAAUACCGGGUAGGAGCUCCUGCUGCGUGGGGGGGGUUGGAAAGUUCCGGCGGUUGGGGAUGGACUCGCGGCUUAUCAGCUGCUUGGUGGGGUAGUGGCUUACCAAGGGUGUGACGGGUAGCCGGCCUGGGAGGGUGACCGGGGACAUGGGGCCUGAGAGACGCACCAGACGGCUACGGGAGGCAACAGUGGGGAACAUUGCGCAACGGGGGGGCGCGUGAUGCAGCAACGCCGCGUGCGGGAUGCCGGCCUUCUGGUUGUAAACCGCUUUCGCCUGUGACGAAGCGUGAGUGACGGUAAUGGGUAAAGAAGCACCGGCUAACUACGUG